AUUGUAGGCAAGAGAAGCUGAACAAUAAACGGCAUUUUCUUGCUGAGGUAUAAAAAGCAGUGAGUUGCGGAAAAUGAUUUUUUUUAAAAGAUGAAAGUGUAGCCCAUCAUUAAGAUCAAAUCUAUGAGAGGAGAAGCUCUGCAAAGCAGUGUUGCUACAGUACACUACUCCAGAUGUAAUCCCACACAGACUUCCCUGGCUAUGAUUCCGACUUAUUCAGUAAUUACAAGCAACAAAGAAAACAGGCGCCUGGCAUAAAAACCAACACCAGAGUCCUGAAGAGUGAUCUGAGUUUACAAAACAAACAGGAGUCUGAGUGUGCUGAGGGAUCUACACUCAAACAAUUGGGACCCUCAGGUGGUUGCACAAUUUGGAGGCUCAUUAUGUCCUCUCUCAGUCCAGGAGUUUCCACCCACACUUGUGUUUUGAAGGCAACAAGGCAGGGGAUGACAAGGAAAAGGGGAAGCAAAAAUAAUCCCCCUGAACAUCAUUUUUUUGGGGAAUGAAAACCUGACAUUCUGCAGAAGGCACCAUCCUCCAGCAAAACUGCAGCAGUGAGGUCGCCAAGAUAAGAGAACCCCCCAAAGCAAGCAAGCAACUAAAUAAAUAAGUACAUGGAGAAAGGAAGUUUUUGUUU
RNAcentral lists this long non-coding RNA (637 nucleotides) under Cyanistes caeruleus (blue tit). Its description in RNAcentral is "lncRNA (ENSCCEG00000009054.1)". The record is from RNAcentral. Lineage: Eukaryota; Metazoa; Chordata; Aves; Passeriformes; Paridae.